RNAcentral lists this ribosomal RNA (605 nucleotides) under uncultured bacterium. RNAcentral describes it as "bacterial SSU rRNA". It matches the Rfam family "Bacterial small subunit ribosomal RNA", at positions 118 to 711 of the family's 1533-position model. The record is from RNAcentral.
UGGGAAAUCUGCCGAGUAGCGGGGGACAACGUUUGGAAACGAACGCUAAUACCGCAUAACAAUGAGAAUCGCAUGAUUCUGAUUUAAAAGAAGCAACUGCUUCACUACUUGAUGAUCCCGCGUUGUAUUAGCUAGUUGGUAGUGUAAAGGACUACCAAGGCGAUGAUACAUAGCCGGCCUGAGAGGGUGAACGGCCACACUGGGACUGAGACACGGCCCAGACUCCUACGGGAGGCAGCAGUAGGGAAUCUUCGGCAAUGGGGGCAACCCUGACCGAGCAACGCCGCGUGAGUGAAGAAGGUUUUCGGAUCGUAAAACUCUGUUGUUAGAGAAGAACGUUAAGUAGAGUGGAAAGUUACUUAAGUGACGGUAUCUAACCAGAAAGGGACGGCUAACUACGUGCCAGCAGCCGCGGUAAUACGUAGGUCCCGAGCGUUGUCCGGAUUUAUUGGGCGUAAAGCGAGCGCAGGUGGUUCCUUAAGUCUGAUGUAAAAGGCAGUGGCUCAACCAUUGUGUGCAUUGGAAACUGGGGAACUUGAGUGCAGGAGAGGGGAGUGGAAUUCCAUGUGUAGCGGUGAAAUGCGUANAUAUAUGGAGGAACACCG